This 88-nucleotide small nucleolar RNA is filed under the name Magallana gigas (Pacific oyster). Its description in RNAcentral is "Crassostrea gigas (Pacific oyster) Small nucleolar RNA SNORD14". It matches the Rfam family "Small nucleolar RNA SNORD14". Rfam says of the family: U14 small nucleolar RNA (U14 snoRNA) is required for early cleavages of eukaryotic precursor rRNAs. In yeasts, this molecule possess a stem-loop region (known as the Y-domain) which is essential for function. Lineage: Eukaryota; Metazoa; Mollusca; Bivalvia; Ostreida; Ostreidae. The record is from Rfam by way of RNAcentral.
CAGUGAUGAUGAAAAUCAUUUCUCCAUUCGCGGUUUCCACCAGAGGUUUUCCGAUGAUGGAUUAAUCCUUCCUUGGAUGUCUGAACUG